RNAcentral lists this transfer RNA (73 nucleotides) under Cavia porcellus (domestic guinea pig). It matches the Rfam family "tRNA". Rfam says of the family: Transfer RNA (tRNA) molecules are approximately 80 nucleotides in length. Lineage: Eukaryota; Metazoa; Chordata; Mammalia; Rodentia; Caviidae. The record is from Rfam by way of RNAcentral.
GGGGAUUUAGCUCAGCGGCAUAAGCACCUGCCUUGCAAGCAGGCUGUCGUGAGUUCGACCCCCGUUACCACCG